This is a long non-coding RNA of Pelmatolapia mariae (spotted tilapia), 283 nucleotides long. RefSeq lists it as uncharacterized. The record is from RefSeq and is a predicted model, not a curated record. The transcript is spliced from 2 exons. Lineage: Eukaryota; Metazoa; Chordata; Actinopteri; Cichliformes; Cichlidae.
AAAAAAAACAAGGACCAGACAAAGCAAAAAAGGGCAUUUAAAGAGACAGCGCUGUGCAGAUGCAUAUUUGAUGGCCUGGCGCAGCAGGUAGGGGCGAACUCUAUGUCUGAGUUGGUCUUUGCUCAAGCAGUCCAGAAAUGGCUCAGAUAUGCUCCAGAUCGUACGGGUGGCGCGCAGGACACACAUCAUCCAUCCCCAUCCCGGAGUAAAUAAUAAAAAGUGACGUGAAACAUAGAAAUGUAAAUAGGAAACUUUGUCUUUUAAUAAAGUAUUUUGCAAAUGA